This 309-nucleotide ribosomal RNA is filed under the name uncultured fungus. RNAcentral's name for it is "LSU rRNA". The record is from RNAcentral. Lineage: Eukaryota; Fungi.
GACGUUGACAGUGAGUUUCGGCCUCGCUGUUUGCAUGUUUGUGCGCUUUGGGUGUACUUUUUCGUAUGGUUGGCCAACAUCAGUUUCGAUCACUAUAAAAUGACUGGCGGAAUGUAGCUUCGAUUUCGGUUGAAGUGUUAUAGCCUCUGGUAGAUGUGGUGAUUGGGACUGAGGAUUGCAACGAAUAUCCUUUGGGCUAUCCGUCUGGCCUCUGAAAGUUGCUUGGGUGCUGAAAGCUUGCUUAUGGUUAUCUAAGUUAACGGUCAAUAGGUUAGAACGUGAUUACAUUCGUUAAGGUGGUUGACGUAA